CCUACGGGCGGCAGCAGUGGGGAAUAUUGCGCAAUGGGCGAAAGCCUGACGCAGCGACGCCGCGUGAGGGAUGAAGGUCUUCGGAUCGUAAACCUCUGUCAGCAGGGAAGAACGGUCACUGUGCUAAUCAGCAGUGAAUUGACGGUACCUGCAAAGGAAGCACCGGCUAACUCCGUGCCAGCAGCCGCGGUAAUACGGAGGGUGCGAGCGUUAAUCGGAAUGACUGGGCGUAAAGCGCUCGUAGGCGGUAUGGCAAGUCAAGGGUGAAAUCCCCGGGCUCAACGUGGGAACUACCUUUGAAACUGGCAGACUUGAGUGUGUGAGGGGAUAGUGGAAUUCCAGGUGUAGGAGUGAAAUCCGUAGAUAUCGGGAGGAACAUCAGUGGCGAAGGCGACUAUCUGGCACGUAACUGACGCUGAGGAGCGAAAGCGUGGGGAGCAAACAGGAUUAGAUACCCUAGUAGUC
This 465-nucleotide ribosomal RNA is filed under the name uncultured bacterium. Its description in RNAcentral is "partial 16S ribosomal RNA". It matches the Rfam family "Bacterial small subunit ribosomal RNA", at positions 338 to 795 of the family's 1533-position model. The record is from RNAcentral.